GCAGCCAUCUUUUCGCUCAUUCAUCAGUUUUCUCUCGUCGUGAAUGGAUCGUCGUCCGGUUUCUCCCUGAUUAUGUGCGGAAAAGUGCCCUCAAUACCACCAUCAGCAGCACCAGUAGCAGCCGCAGCAGCAAUAGUGACCAGAAGCAGUCCCAGCACCGCCAUUGCAGUUCUACUCGCGACGAGCCGUUUUUAGUUUUUUCUUUUGUUUCGGUUUUGAGUUGAGUUUCUCUUUCGGCCGUUCCGUCCCGCGCUACCGGUUCCGGAUGAAAACGCGGUGUAAAAGUCACGCCAGUCCCUUUCCCAACGUUUCGGUCAGUAAUGUAACAGCCAUCGCGAGGGGUGCAUAAGGAAGAAGAGGCAGAGCGAAAUUAAAAGAAGAAGUGCGGUCGGUCUGACUGCCUGUGCGUGAGUGUGUGUGUGUGUGCGUGUGCGAGCGAGAACGAGAGAGACGGACUCGAGGCGAAAACGAUCGAGAGGGAGAAGAGUAAAACCGGGCGAAGGCGAAAAUCAGUAGGAGGAGAGAGAGGAAGAAGAAGGCACCACCGUGGAGAAGCUAAAGUCGUUCUGGGUGUGCAAUUUCCGUGCGAGAGGAAAAUUUUUACUUUAUUGGUUUAUUUAUUUUAAUAAUGAGUGAUUACUCAAACCAGAACUCGCAAAAUUUUAGUCAAUCGUCAGCAUUUGCAGCCGCUUUACAGAGAGCCAAACAAAUUGCAGCUAAAAUACACCCGGGUGGUGGCCAACCGGGAAAGAGAUCGCUAGAGGACGACUCCGGACCAGAAUCAAAAAAGUUUGGUGGACAGUCUGACUUCAACAAUGCCAACUCGCCGACUGGCAUGAGCCCAGCUGCUAUGCAAGCCGCUGCUCAAGCUGCUGCCGUUGCCGCCCGUCUGCAAAUUAACAACAGUAACAACACCAACAACAGCAACAACAACAACUCGAACGCGAACGCGAACCCAGGAGGACAGGAUCCAGUCCAGAGAGCACGUGACCUUAUUAGCAAAAUGGUGAACCAACAGGGAGGUGGUGGCCACAACGGCCCAAUGGACAAUGGAAACCACGGAGGAGGCGGCGGUGGCCGCGGAGGUGGCGGAGGCGGGGGUGGAGGUUUCGGAUUCACCCAGCAGCCGUACCAGGAGAUUAUGAUCCCGGGAUCGAAGGUGGGACUGAUCAUUGGGAAGGGGGGAGAAACGAUCAAACAGUUGCAGGAGAAAUCCGGCGCCAAGAUGGUCAUCAUUCAGGAUGGCCCCGGCCAGGAGAUGGAAAAGCCGCUGCGUAUUUCGGGCGAUGCCCAGAAAGUGGAGCACGCCAAGCAGCUGGUGUACGAUCUGAUCCAGGAGAAGGACAAUUACACACAGCGACAGAACAACACCCAGAAUGGCAGUGAACAGGCCGAGGUGUUUGUGCCCAAGUCGGCGGUCGGUGUCGUCAUCGGCAAGGGCGGUGACAUGAUCAAGAAGAUUCAGGGCGAAUCGGGCUGCAAGCUGCAGUUCAUCCAGGGCCGAGGAGAUGGUCCCGGUGAUCGGCGCUGCAUCGUCCAGGGCUCGCGGGCUCAGGUCGAGGAGGGAAAACGGAUGAUUGAGGAGUUGAUCGAGAGCGUGCAGCGACGCGAACAGGGCGGCGGUGGCCGUGGAGGUCGCGGAGGUGAGCGUGAAGAUCGUGGUGAUCGAGGCGAGCGGCCGCACCGAGGUGGACGUGACCAGCACGACAAUGGCAACGGCGGUGGGUACGGAGGAGGCGGUGGAGGGCAGGACUAUGGGGGACCUCAGGUGACCCGCGAAGAGUACACUUUCGCCGUGCCCGUUAACAAGUGUGGCAUCAUCAUUGGCCGCGGUGGAGACACCAUCAAGCAGAUCAACCAACAGUCCGGAGCGCACACCGAAAUGGACCGCAAGGCGUCGGCGAAUCAGACGACGGAGAAGACGUUCACCUGCAAGGGCGAACCGCACCAGAUCGAGGAGGCCAAGCGGUUGAUCCAGGACAAGAUCAACAUGGAAAUCAACAUGCAGUACGUGGGCAGCUCGACGGGUCCGGCCCAGCAGUACCAGAACAAUGGCGGCGGCGGUGGCCAAGGUGGAUACGGUCAAAGCUGGGGUGGCGGCGGUGGCGGUGGAUACGGCCAGCAGCAGCAAUCCUGGGAUCAACAGCAGCCGUCACAACCGGGUGCCCCGUCGGCACCUGGUCCCCAGCAGCCCGGACAGGCGGGGGGUGCCGGUCAGGCGGACUACUCGCAACAGUGGAUCGAGUACUACCGACAAAUGGGAAUGCACCGCGAGGCAGAGAUGAUCGAGCAACAGGUCAAGGCACGCCAAGCUGCUGCCCAGCAGGGAGCACCCGCAGCAGCGAUCCAAACCACCCAAGCUAAUCAAACUGUCCAAGGUACAUCAGUGGUGGCAGCGAGCAACGCCGGUCCGCAACAGGCCGCGGCCGGAGGUGGUCCCCAGGGUGGUGGCGGAAGCGGUGGCCAGGCCGAUUACAGCGCCGAGUGGGCCGAGUACUACCGAAGGCUCGGUAGGGUCGAGGAGGCCGAAGCGAUCGAGAAGCAGAUCGCGCACAACAAGGCUCUGCAGGGACAGGGUGGCGGCGCCGGAGGUCCUGCGGGCGGAGCCGGCGGUAAUCCCCAGCUAGCGGCUCAACAGGCCGCAGCUGCCGCCGGUUACGGAGCGGCGGCAGCCCAGCAGUAUCAGCAGUACUACGCGGGGGCGGCGGCCGCUGCAGCAGCCGGUGGUCAACCCGGGGGCGGAUACCAGGGCUAUCCGUACGGUGGCGGGUACCCGGGCGGACAGCAGGGUGGCCAGGACAAGAACUAGGCCACCACAGGCGGACGCUGGAUGACCUCCCCCACCCUAACCACCCACCCACCCACACAAACACACACGCGCACCGACGAGAGACGACACCCCGUAAUCAGCUAAGAUAAUGAUUGCUUUAUAACCAUAUGUACCAACUAUUGAACACAUUUAACAACAUUAGCGUUGAAGCUAUGUAGGACAAAUAAAACAAAACAGAACUAGGAUCAAACACAGCUUGAUAGCCGAAAGAAGAGAAGAAGAAGAUGAAGAUGCAAAACUAAACUAAACCUAGUUGUAUAACCAAGUAAAUCAAGAGAUAAAAACAUUUAACUUAACUUAUAACAACAAAAAAACCGGAAUGAAAACAAGAAACAAGAGAACAAAAACUGAGAGUACAGCAAAA
Culex quinquefasciatus (southern house mosquito) is the source of this 3194-nucleotide RNA transcript. It is a transcript of the gene named far upstream element-binding protein 1, with no coding region annotated. NCBI's taxonomy places the organism in Eukaryota, Metazoa, Arthropoda, Insecta, Diptera, Culicidae. The transcript has 6 exons. The record is from RefSeq and is a predicted model, not a curated record.